UCAAUUGUCUCAGCAUUCAGUUUGUGGCACAGCUAUGGUCUCCAUAAACUUAGUGGCCGUACUUUCAUUUAUUCAUUCAUUCAUUUAUGUACAUUUUCUUCAUAGACAUAGAGGUUGUCUGAACUUUUGGAAGAAUCUGUAAAUCAAAGAAUACACAAAAAUGGUCAGAAAUAGCCAUAUCCUUAAUGUUAAUUGAUAGAAUUUCAACAUCCUUAGAGAUGUCCAGGUCUAAGAUGUGACCUUCAGUUGAGAGAGGUCAAAUGUGUCUAGUAUAGCAGAGAGUUAUUUAGAUUUUUUUCCAUGUUAUUGUCAACAUGAAUGUUAAAGUCUCCUGUUAUGACAAAAUAGUUGUACAGAUAACUGACAGCAGUUCUGAAAAAUUCUGCAUAAAAAAGCCUAUACGGGCUCGCUGUUCAGAGCGUCCAUAGCUCAACGUGCGGGGGUGUGUCGGCAACUCUUAUUUUUAUGUGAUGGUUCGGUCCAAUCGGGUUAGACCACGUUGCACAGUGUAGUGAUGGGAUGAACAACAUUGGUGCGUCAGCACUGUGCCGAGUGCACAAGAGUGAAACCCCGUAUUGGUGCGCGUAUCGCUUUAAGAAAAAAAUCAUGUGACCAAUCCAGGACGUGUGUCAUUUGGAUGUGCCGCGCCAAAUUGUGUAUAUAAGGAAACAAACUGUGUUGACAUGUUGUGGAUUUGUUGGAUGGAGUUUUGCUUGCCCUCACAUUGUUCCACUGACUUCAUGGAUCGUUCCAAGAAGUUCUCCCCAGUCUGAAUAAUUUUGAUCUUGUGACGCCAAAUAAGGUGAAGUGUCGGCUCUGCUCCACAGCGCUAUCUUACAUCAAUAAGAGCGCUUCAUCAGUGCUGAGGCAUUAUAGAGCUCGGCAUGGCAUUGAAGAAUUGGCAGAUACUCGUGUGAGUACCCCAGUUCCUAACAAGCAAGCAGUGGCUGAGGCUGUGGUCAAUAUGAUCAUCAAAGACUGUCAGCCACUCACCAUUGUUGAAAAUGAGGGAUUCAGGGAGCUCCUGAAACUUAUCAACUCGCUCUUAAAUUUUUAUGCUCACCAUCUUCAUCUGUACCCUGUGAAUGAGUUUUUUUCUAAGGCAGGGGAACUGGUGUCUAAGAGGAGAAAUCGCCUUGAAGCAAAGACACUUCAAAAACCUUUGUUCCUCAAUAAAAAUGCAUAAAUAAAUUUUUAGUCUUUUAUUUCAUAUGACUGAACACUUAAGUUAACAAAAUUCUAUACAUAAGUUAAAAAAUUAACAGAAUUUUAUUAGACAAAUUUGCUAUAUUUUACAUACCAACUAAUUUUAGCAUUUACACAAACAAGGUUUUAAGCAAAUUUGAAACUCUUCUCAAAAAACACUCAGCAAACAAAUUGAGUAACUGAAAUUAUACAAUCACGAGAGGAUAUGUUAAG
Phyllopteryx taeniolatus (common seadragon) is the source of this 1419-nucleotide long non-coding RNA. RefSeq lists it as uncharacterized. NCBI's taxonomy places the organism in Eukaryota, Metazoa, Chordata, Actinopteri, Syngnathiformes, Syngnathidae. The transcript has 3 exons. The record is from RefSeq and is a predicted model, not a curated record.